This 34-nucleotide small RNA is filed under the name Bombyx mori (domestic silkworm). RNAcentral's name for it is "ovarian small RNA-11377". The record is from RNAcentral. Lineage: Eukaryota; Metazoa; Arthropoda; Insecta; Lepidoptera; Bombycidae.
ACCUGAAAUGUUUUUGGGGGGCUUCAGAUGGCUU